AGAGUUUGAUCCUGGCUCAAAUUGAACGCUGGCGGCGUGCUUUACACAUGCAAGUCGAGCGGCAGCACGACCUUCGGGUUGGUGGCGAGCGGCGAACGGGUGAGUAAUACAUCGGAACGUACCUUUUAGUUGGGGAUAACGCAUCGAAAGAUGUGCUAAUACCGAAUAAUCUCUGAGGAGGAAAGGCGGGGAUCGGAAACGACCUGUCGCUGAAAGAGCGGCCGAUGGCCGAUUAGCUAGUUGGCGGGGUAAAAGCCCACCAAGGCGACGAUCCAUAGCUGGUCUGAAAAGAUGAUCAGCCACACUGGGACUGAGACACGGCCCACACUCCUACGGGAGGCAGCAGUGGGGAAUAUUGGACAAUGGGCGCAAGCCUGAUCCAGCCAUGCCGCGUGAGUGAUGAAGGCCUUAGGGUUGUAAAGCUCUUUCAGUGGGGACGAUAAUGACGGUACCCACAGAAGAAGCCCCGGCUAACUUCGUGCCAGCAGCCGCGGUAAUACGAAGGGGGCUAGCGUUGUUCGGAUUUACUGGGCGUAAAGCGCACGUAGGCGGAUCGUUAAGUCGGGGGUGAAAUCCUGGAGCUCAACUCCAGAACUGCCUUCGAUACUGGCGAUCUUGAGUCCAGAAGAGGUGAGUGGAACUCCUAGUGUAGAGGUGGAAUUCGUAUAUAUUAAGAAAGACACCAGUGGCGAGGGCGGCUCACUGGUCCUGUACUGACGCUGAGGUGCGAAAGCGUGGAGAGCAAACAGGAUUACAUACCCUGAUAGUCCACGCCGUAAACUAUGACAGCUAGCCGUUGGGGAAAAUUUUAUCCUCUCAGUGGACGCAGCUAACGCAUCAGCCUCUCCGCCUUGGGAGGAGUAACGGUCGCAAUGAUAUACUCGAAGGUAAUUGACGCGCCCGGACAGUCGGUAAACAUGGGUCAAUCGAAGCAACGACGAUGCAUUCUUUAAGCCA
Molecule: ribosomal RNA, 957 nt
Filed under: uncultured bacterium
Lineage: Bacteria
Description: bacterial SSU rRNA
Rfam family: Bacterial small subunit ribosomal RNA
Source: RNAcentral